UAAUAAUAUUGUCAAACAUAUCGAAAGAUAGAGACGCAAAGCCACGGGUCCAAAGUAUAUUGCAAUGACAGCCGGGGUGCAGUU
RNAcentral lists this non-coding RNA (84 nucleotides) under Clostridia bacterium. RNAcentral describes it as "c-di-GMP sequence". It matches the Rfam family "c-di-GMP-I riboswitch aptamer". From Rfam's summary of the family: GEMM was predicted in a large-scale screen for bacterial structured RNA regulatory elements. Genes associated with GEMM are involved in a diverse array of functions, including chemotaxis regulation, signal transduction, secretion and chitin. Lineage: Bacteria; Bacillati; Bacillota; Clostridia. The record is from RNAcentral.